This 769-nucleotide long non-coding RNA is filed under the name Equus caballus (horse). RNAcentral describes it as "lncRNA (ENSECAG00000045342.1)". The record is from RNAcentral. Lineage: Eukaryota; Metazoa; Chordata; Mammalia; Perissodactyla; Equidae.
UAUAGCUCAAAAAAGUGAUUAUGAAAAAAUCAAUGUAAUUCAUCAUAUUCAGAAAAUAAAGGAGUAAAGCCAAGUGAUUAUCUCAAUAGCUGUGGACAAAUUAAUUGACGAAAUUUAAUGUUCCUUCCAAAAAAAUCUUUUAACAAAGUGGAAAUUAGAGGGAAUUUCUUUUAUGUGGUAAUGUGCACAUCAAAAACAAAACUUCAGUUAGCGGCACACUGAACACUUUUCUCCGAAGAUCAGGAACUGGAAAAUGAUGUCCAUUGUCUGUACAUGUACUCCACAUUUUACUGGAGCUGGGCUGCUCCUCUGACUCUGAGCAGGUUCUUCCCUCCGGUGACCCCGGGGAAGUAGCUGCAGGAUGCUUGGACACUGAUCGCAGAAGCUACUGUCCCCGGGCCAGGCGCUGCAGGGUCGAGCAGCCGCAGACCCAAAGAGUCCCUACAUUGUGGGGGGCACAUAUGAGGGAAGAUUAGCCCUGAGCUAACGUCUGCUGCCAAUCUUCCUCUUUUUGCUGAGGAAGACCGGCUCUGAGCUAACAUCCGUGCCCAUCUUCCUCAACUUUAUAUGUGGGAUGCCUACAACAGCAUGGCUCACCAAGUGGUGCCAUGUCCGCACCCGGGAUCCAAACCAGCGAACCCCAGGCCGUCAGAGCAGAAUAUGCACACUUAACUGCUGCACCACCAGGCGGGCCCCUCAAGUGUUUUUUUGACAAAGUUGUCAAGACAAUUCAAUGAUCUUGGGGUAGGGAAAAAUAAUUAGAUGGAAA